GGACCCGCACAAGCGGUGGAGCAUGUGGUUUAAUUCGAAGCAACGCGAAGAACCUUACCAGGCCUUGACAUCCCCCUGAAUCACCCGUAACGGGGUGAGCCUUCGGGCAGGGGAGACAGGUGGUGCAUGGUUGUCGUCAGCUCGUGUCGUGAGAUGUUGGGUCAAGUCCCGCAACGAGCGCAACCCUUGUCCUCAGUAGCCAGCAGUUCGGCUGGGCACUCUGGGGAGACCGCCGGGGAUAACCCGGAGGAAGAUGGGGAUGACGUCAAAUCAUCAUGCCCCUUAUGGCCUGGGCUACACACGUGCUACAAUGGCGCCGUACAAAGGGAAGCCUACCCGCGAGGGGAAGCGAAUCCCAAAAAAUACGUCUCAGUUCGGACUGCAGGCUGCAACCCGCCUGCACGAAGCUGGAAUCGCUAGUAAUCGCGGAUCAGCACGCCGCGGUGAAUACGUUCCCGGGUCUU
RNAcentral lists this ribosomal RNA (464 nucleotides) under uncultured bacterium. Its description in RNAcentral is "bacterial SSU rRNA". It matches the Rfam family "Bacterial small subunit ribosomal RNA", at positions 917 to 1382 of the family's 1533-position model. The record is from RNAcentral.